This 301-nucleotide ribosomal RNA is filed under the name uncultured bacterium. RNAcentral describes it as "partial 16S ribosomal RNA". It matches the Rfam family "Bacterial small subunit ribosomal RNA", at positions 509 to 807 of the family's 1533-position model. The record is from RNAcentral.
CAGCAGCCGCGGGAAAACGUAGGUCCCGAGCGUUGUCCGGAAUUAUUGGGCGUAAAGGGCUCGCAGGCGGUUUCUUAAGUCUGAUGUGAAAGCCCCCGGCUCAACCGGGGAGGGUCAUUGGAAACUGGGAAACUUGAGUGCAGAAGAGGAGAGUGGAAUUCCACGUGUAGCGGUGAAAUGCGUAGAGAUGUGGAGGAACACCAGUGGCGAAGGCGACUCUCUGGUCCGUAACUGACGCUGAGGAGCGAAAGCGUGGGGAGCGAACAGGAUUAGAUACCCCCGUAGUCCCUGUCUCUUAUAC